CGUGGCUAAUACCGGAUAUGACGCUCCGCCGCAUGGUGGGGUGUGGAAAGACUGUGUCGGUUGGGGAUGGGCUCGCGGCCUAUCAGCUUGUUGGUGGGGUGAUGGCCUACCAAGGCGACGACGGGUAGCCGGCCUGAGAGGGUGACCGGCCACACUGGGACUGAGACACGGCCCAGACUCCUACGGGAGGCAGCAGUGGGGAAUAUUGCACAAUGGGCGCAAGCCUGAUGCAGCGACGCCGCGUGAGGGAUGACGGCCUUCGGGUUGUAAACCUCUUUCAGUAGGGAAGAAGCCUUUCGGGGUGACGGUACCUGCAGAAGAAGCGCCGGCUAACUACGUGCCAGCAGCCGCGGUAAUACGUAGGGCGCAAGCGUUGUCCGGAAUUAUUGGGCGUAAAGAGCUCGUAGGCGGUUUGUCGCGUCUGCUGUGAAAACGCGAGGCUCAACCUCGCGCCUGCAGUGGGUACGGGCAGACUAGAGUGCGGUAGGGGAGACUGGAAUUCCUGGUGUAGCGGUGGAAUGCGCAGAUAUCAGGAGGAACACCGGUGGC
This 549-nucleotide ribosomal RNA is filed under the name Georgenia sp. RNAcentral's name for it is "bacterial SSU rRNA". It matches the Rfam family "Bacterial small subunit ribosomal RNA", at positions 158 to 716 of the family's 1533-position model. The record is from RNAcentral. Lineage: Bacteria; Bacillati; Actinomycetota; Actinomycetes; Allobogoriellales; Allobogoriellaceae.